UUUUUUUCUUUUUUUUCCUUUUUUUUUUUUUUUCUCCUCUU
RNAcentral lists this non-coding RNA (41 nucleotides) under Rhodella violacea. The record is from RNAcentral. Lineage: Eukaryota; Rhodophyta; Rhodellophyceae; Rhodellales; Rhodellaceae.